Molecule: ribosomal RNA, 238 nt
Filed under: uncultured bacterium
Lineage: Bacteria
Description: partial 16S ribosomal RNA
Rfam family: Bacterial small subunit ribosomal RNA
Source: RNAcentral
CCGCACGGGUGAGUAACACGUAUCCAACCUGCCGUCUACUCUUGGCCAGCCUUCUGAAAGGAAGAUUAAUCCAGGAUGGCAUCAUGAGUUCACAUGUCCGCAUGAUUAAAGGUAUUUUCCGGUAGACGAUGGGGAUGCGUUCCAUUAGAUAGUAGGCGGGGUAACGGCCCACCUAGUCAACGAUGGAUAGGGGUUCUGAGAGGAAGGUCCCCCACAUUGGAACUGGGACACGGUCCAA